UACAGAGACUGCAAGCGUUAUUCGGAUUCACUGGGCGUAAAGGGUGCGCAGGUGGCCAAGUGUGUUAGGCGUGAAAGCCCGGGGCUUAACCCCGGAAUUGCACCUAAAACUACUUGGCUAGAGCAUUGGAGAGGGGAGCAGAAUUCAUGGUGUAGCAGUGAAAUGCGUAGAUAUCAUGAGGAAUACCAGAGGCGAAGGCGGCUCCCUGGACAAUAGCUGACACUCAGGCACGAAAGCGUGGGGAGCAAAAGGG
Molecule: ribosomal RNA, 253 nt
Filed under: uncultured bacterium
Lineage: Bacteria
Description: partial 16S ribosomal RNA
Rfam family: Bacterial small subunit ribosomal RNA
Source: RNAcentral